This 119-nucleotide ribosomal RNA is filed under the name Lepisosteus oculatus (spotted gar). Lineage: Eukaryota; Metazoa; Chordata; Actinopteri; Semionotiformes; Lepisosteidae. The record is from RNAcentral.
GCCAGCAGCCAUAUCACCCUGCAACUCCCAGCUGGCAGCCCACUGGAGCUCAGCAGGUGUGAGCCUGGUCAGUACCUGGAUGGGAGACCUCCUGGGAAAAACUAAGGCUGCUGCUGGAA